RNAcentral lists this unclassified non-coding RNA (242 nucleotides) under uncultured fungus. RNAcentral describes it as "partial contains 5.8S ribosomal RNA, internal transcribed spacer 2, and large subunit ribosomal RNA". The record is from RNAcentral. Lineage: Eukaryota; Fungi.
AACGCACAUUGCGCCCUUUGGUAUUCCGAGGGGCAUGCCUGUUCGAGCGUCAUUUCAACCCUCAAGCUCUGCUUGGUAUUGGGCCUCGCCGUCGCGGCGGGCCUUAAAAUCAGUGGCGGUGCCGUCGGGGCUCCAAGCGCAGUCGCAUCUCUCGCUUUGGAGGGCCCGGUGGUGUCCUGCCAGAUAACCUAAUUUUUACUGUGGUUGACCUCGGAUCAGGUAGGGAUACCCGCUGAACUUAA